UACGAAGGGGGCUAGCGUUGCUCGGAAUGACUGGGCGUAAAGGGCGCGUAGGCGGAUGGCACAGUCAGAUGUGAAAUUCCUGGGCUUAACCUGGGGGCUGCAUUUGAUACGUGUGAUCUAGAGUGAGGAAGAGGGUUGUGGAAUUCCCAGUGUAGAGGUGAAAUUCGUAGAUAUUGGGAAGAACACCGGUGGCGAAGGCGGCAUCCUGGACCGGCAUUGACGCUGAUGAGCGAAAGCCAGGGGAGCAAACGGG
This 253-nucleotide ribosomal RNA is filed under the name uncultured bacterium. RNAcentral describes it as "partial 16S ribosomal RNA". It matches the Rfam family "Bacterial small subunit ribosomal RNA", at positions 524 to 776 of the family's 1533-position model. The record is from RNAcentral.